RNAcentral lists this ribosomal RNA (506 nucleotides) under uncultured bacterium. RNAcentral's name for it is "partial 16S ribosomal RNA". It matches the Rfam family "Bacterial small subunit ribosomal RNA", at positions 28 to 523 of the family's 1533-position model. The record is from RNAcentral.
GAUGAACGCUAGCUACAGGCUUAACACAUGCAAGUCGAGGGGUAACAAGAGAAAAGCUUGCUUUUUUUGUUGACGACCGGCGCACGGGUGAGUAACGCGUAUCCAACCUGCCUAUAACUAGGGAAUAACCUUGCGAAAGUAAGACUAAUACCCUAUGAUUUCCUUUGAUGAAAUCAGAUUAGGAAUAAAGACUUAUCGGGUAAAGAUGGGGAUGCGUCUGAUUAGCUUGUUGGCGGGGUAACGGCCCACCAAGGCAACGAUCAGUAGGGGUUCUGAGAGGAAGGUCCCCCACAUUGGAACUGAGACACGGUCCAAACUCCUACGGGAGGCAGCAGUGAGGAAUAUUGGUCAAUGGGCGGAAGCCUGAACCAGCCAAGUAGCGUGCAGGAUGACGGCCCUAUGGGUUGUAAACUGCUUUUAUACAGGAAUAAAGUUAGCCACGUGUGGUUAUUUGUAGGUACUGUAUGAAUAAGGACCGGCUAAUUCCGUGCCAGCAGCCGCGGUAA